UACAGAGGGUGCGAGCGUUAAUCGGAAUUACUGGGCGUAAAGCGUGCGCAGGCGGUCCGCAAAGUCUGAUGUGAAAGCCCCGGGCUCAACCUGGGAACUGCAUUGGAAACUAACGGGCUCGAGUGUGGCAGAGGGGGGUGGAAUUCCACGUGUAGCAGUGAAAUGCGUAGAGAUGUGGAGGAACACCGAUGGCGAAGGCAGCCCCCUGGGCUAACACUGACGCUCAGGCACGAAAGCGUGGGGAGCAAACAGG
Molecule: ribosomal RNA, 253 nt
Filed under: uncultured bacterium
Lineage: Bacteria
Description: partial 16S ribosomal RNA
Rfam family: Bacterial small subunit ribosomal RNA
Source: RNAcentral